AGCGCAGAUGCCGGCUGCCUGCAGAGCUGCCCAGAGCCCGCGGAGCCUCCCCGCCACCGCAGCUUUUCCUCCUAACUUCUUGGACUGUCCGUGAGUGGGGAGAUCCAGAGGAGGCGAGGUGGUGGCUGAAUUCCUGAGAAUGCAACUGCAGAAAAACAGGAUUAACAUCCAGAGAACUGCUACCACGAGAAUUGGUGUUAAGAAUGGAGAGCUCGCUGCCAGAGGGAUCACUCUGGGGCUGUCCUUCAGAAGAGCCAUCUCAGGAGUCCCACGCUCUCCUGCAGGACCUGUCUGCCUUCAUAGACUCUAAAGAACAAGUGAGUUCUGUAAGAUGACAGAUCCUCACCCUGCUGACCGUAGGUUCUUUGUCAUUGUUGUCAUCCUGGAGAGUGCUGGGCAUUGCUUCAUGAUUCUCUACCUGUUAAUAUGAACGGACCUAUCACGAGUAUGUGUUCAGUGUUUGCUGUAAAAAAAGUGUCUGCACAUUAGUUCUUUGAAAAUCUCAACAUCACUAUUGAUAAAUUUUUUUAAGUUGUUUUUUUCCCCAUUAACUUCUACAAAUGUGGGGCUCAAACUCCUGACGCUGAGAUCAGGAGUCACAUGCUCUUCCAACUGAGCCAGCUAGGUGCCCAUUGCUACUGUUUAAUCUAGGUUAUAAUCACUAACCACUAACUAGGAAUUCAAAAUUUCCAGUUUAUUGGGAAAUUGCCAGGUUCUUUCACAUUGAGAUUACUGUAUAAUGAAGUAAUUGUGUGCUUACUGUGUAUUUCUGUUUGAAUGUGUCUGAAAGACACAGGGCAGACCAGCAUGGGAGUUUGAACCACAAAUGGAGUUUGACCUUUCUUUUCUUCUUUUUUUUUUAUUUAUUUUUUAU
RNAcentral lists this long non-coding RNA (874 nucleotides) under Canis lupus dingo (dingo). RNAcentral describes it as "lncRNA (ENSCAFG00020018516.1)". The record is from RNAcentral. Lineage: Eukaryota; Metazoa; Chordata; Mammalia; Carnivora; Canidae.